This 451-nucleotide ribosomal RNA is filed under the name Arabidopsis thaliana (thale cress). The record is from RNAcentral. Lineage: Eukaryota; Viridiplantae; Streptophyta; Magnoliopsida; Brassicales; Brassicaceae.
GUGAUUGGGCUAUAUUACGGGGCGAAAAUAAUAUGUUCACACAUUGUUUUCGAAUAUUUUGCUUGUAUCAAAGCUCUUAUAAACAAGAAAGGGUAUUCCUACAUAGCUUGUGGGACCCACGGCAAAUGGAUCAUAAAGUCUUCAAAAAAGAAUAGAUACGAUUGCAUUGCAUGUAGUAACAGAUGCGAUCAUACCAGCACUAAUGCACCAGAUCCCAUCAAAACUCCGCAGUUAAGCGUGCUUGGGCGAGAGUAGUACUAGGAUGGGUGACCUCCAGGAAAGUCCUCGUGUUGCAUCCCUCUUUUUUUCGGUUUUUCUCUUUUUUUUUGUUAAAAAUGUAUGACUCUGAAACUUUUAGACCAUGAAGCCAAACUUGGCAUGUGAUACCUUUUCGGAAAGCCCAAAAAGAGCUCUCCGAUGAUGAGGAAGGAAAAUGGAAUUCUUCUAUUGU